AGUGAACGCUGGCGGUAGGCCUAACACAUGCAAGUCGAACGGCAGCACAGUAAGAGCUUGCUCUUACGGGUGGCGAGUGGCGGACGGGUGAGGAAUACAUCGGAAUCUACUUUUUCGUGGGGGAUAACGUAGGGAAACUUACGCUAAUACCGCAUACGACCUACGGGUGAAAGCAGGGGAUCUUCGGACCUUGCGCGAUUGAAUGAGCCGAUGUCGGAUUAGCUAGUUGGCGGGGUAAAGGCCCACCAAGGCGACGAUCCGUAGCUGGUCUGAGAGGAUGAUCAGCCACACUGGAACUGAGACACGGUCCAGGCUCCUACGGGAGGCAGCAGUGGGGAAUAUUGGACAAUGGGCGCAAGCCUGAUCCAGCCAUACCGCGGGGGUGAAGAAGGCCUUCGGGUUGUAAAGCCCUUUUGUUGGGAAAGAAAAGCAGCAGGUUAAUACCCCGCUGUUCUGACGGUACCCAAAGAAUAAGCACCGGCUAACUUCGU
This 491-nucleotide ribosomal RNA is filed under the name uncultured bacterium. RNAcentral's name for it is "partial 16S ribosomal RNA". It matches the Rfam family "Bacterial small subunit ribosomal RNA", at positions 29 to 506 of the family's 1533-position model. The record is from RNAcentral.